GGGGAAAGGAUGGUGUUUUGGUUGGAGAUUACGAGUAUGACAGACAAAUGCAGUUCUCAAGUGAGAAAAAGUAUGCUUUCUGAAACACCGGUGUCCAACACACCACGGCUUUGAAGAAAACAGCAGCUCAAGCACAGAAAGAGAAUAAAGAAGAAGAAAUUUCUGAUAGAAGAAAUCUAGAAUUAAAAAAAUCACGGCUCCAUCCUGGAUUCUAGCUGGAGCUUCUGUUCACCCCAGCCUUGAAGGGGAACUCAAGUACAGAGGGUCAAAGAGAUCUGCAGCAUUUUUAGAGACUGGGACCUAAAUGCUCCUGAAGAGGGACCAGCCUGAAAAUUGAAUAAUCUUUUGCUAACAGAUGGUCUUUCAUGUGACAGAUGAAACAUAUGGAUAAAGGAAGAUGGAGAAGUUUAAAAAGCUGCUGCCUCUCAAAUUAUUUCUGAGGUACAUAGAACAUUUCACUUUACAUUGCUCUCAAAAGUAUUCAAAUGCUAAUGGAAAUAAUAAAUAAAUAAAUAAAUAAAUAAAUAAAUA
Molecule: long non-coding RNA, 531 nt
Organism: Columba livia (rock pigeon)
Lineage: Eukaryota; Metazoa; Chordata; Aves; Columbiformes; Columbidae
Exons: 4
Source: RefSeq, a predicted model, not a curated record